AAAGCGCACGAGGGUCGCAGUGAAGAGGCUCAAGCAACUGUUUAACAAAAACACAGGUCUAUGCUAAGCUGUAAGGCGAUGUAUAUGGGCUGACACCUGCCCAGUGCUGGAAGGUUAAGAGGAGGAGUGAGAGCUCCGAAUUGAAGCCCCAGUGAACGGCGGCCGUAACUAUAACGGUCCUAAGGUAGCGAAAUUCCUUGUCGGGUAAGUUCCGACCUGCACGAAUGGUGUAAUGAUUUGAGCGCUGUCUUGACGGGAGGCCUGGUGAAAUUGUAUUACCGGUGAAGAUACCGGUUACCUACAGUAGGACGGAAAGACCCCAUGGAGCUUUACUGUAGCUUGGUAUUGGGUUUUGGCAUUGCAUGUAUAGGAUAGUUGGGAGACUAUGAAGGUAUGGCGCUAGCUGUAUCGGAGUCAUCGGUGGAAUACCAACCAUUCAAUGCUGAAAUUCUAAUCUGUGGUUUGAAGCCACGGAGACAGUGCUAGGUGGGCAGUUUGACUGGGGCGGUCGCCUCCGAAAGAGUAACGGAGGCGUUCAAAGGUUCUCUCAGGUUGGAUGGAAAUCAACCAUAGAGUGCAAUGGCAUAAGAGAGCUUGACUGCAAGACUGACGGGUCGAGCAGAUGCGAAAGCAGGACAUAGUGAUCCGGCGAUUCCGAAUGGAAGGGUCGUCGCUCAACGGAUAAAAGCUACCCUGGGGAUAACAGGCUGAUCCUACCCGAGAGUCCAUAUCGACGGUAGGGUUUGGCACCUCGAUGUCGGCUCAUCGCAUCCUGGGGCUGGAGAAGGUCCCAAGGGUUGGGCUGUUCGCCCAUUAAAGCGGUACGUGAGCUGGGUUCAGAACGUCGUGAGACAGUUCGGUCCCUAUCCACUGUAGGCGUUAGAAUAUUGAGAAGACCUGUCCUUAGUACGAGAGGACCGGGAUGGACAAACCUCUGAUGUACCAGUUGUCACGCCAGUGGCACAGCUGGGUAGUCACGUUUGGAAUAGAUAACCGCUGAAAGCAUCUAAGCGGGAAACUAACUUCAAGAUAAGUAUUCUUUAAGAUACCUUCGAGCCUAGGAGGUUGAUAGGUUGGGGGUGUAAGUACAGCAAUGUAUUUAGCUGACCAAUACUAAUUAUCGAAGUUUUAAUCUAAAAUCUACUAUAUAGUUUC
This 1155-nucleotide ribosomal RNA is filed under the name Fusobacterium sp. HMSC064B12. Its description in RNAcentral is "bacterial LSU rRNA". It matches the Rfam family "Bacterial large subunit ribosomal RNA", at positions 1763 to 2925 of the family's 2925-position model. The record is from RNAcentral. Lineage: Bacteria; Fusobacteriati; Fusobacteriota; Fusobacteriia; Fusobacteriales; Fusobacteriaceae.